RNAcentral lists this ribosomal RNA (468 nucleotides) under uncultured bacterium. RNAcentral describes it as "partial 16S ribosomal RNA". It matches the Rfam family "Bacterial small subunit ribosomal RNA", at positions 28 to 507 of the family's 1533-position model. The record is from RNAcentral.
GACGAACGCUGGCGGCGUGCUUAACACAUGCAAGUCGAACGGAAAGGCCCUGCUUUUGUGGUGUGCUCGAGUGGCGAACGGGUGAGUAACACGUGAGUAACCUGCCCUUGACUUUGGGAUAACUUCAGGAAACUGGGGCUAAUACCGGAUAGGAGCUCCUGCUGCAUGGUGGGGGUUGGAAAGUUUCGGCGGUUGGGGAUGGACUCGCGGCUUAUCAGCUUGUUGGUGGGGUAGUGGCUUACCAAGGCUUUGACGGGUAGCCGGCCUGAGAGGGUGACCGGCCACAUUGGGACUGAGAUACGGCCCAGAGUCCUACGGGAGGCAGCAGUGGGGAAUAUUGCACAAUGGGCGGAAGCCUGAUGCAGCAACGCCGCGUGCGGGAUGACGGCCUUCGGGUUGUAAACCGCUUUCGCCUGUGACGAAGCGUGAGUGACGGUAAUGGGUAAAGAAGCACCGGCUAACUACGUG